Long non-coding RNA from Equus asinus (donkey), 2930 nucleotides. Lineage: Eukaryota; Metazoa; Chordata; Mammalia; Perissodactyla; Equidae. The record is from Ensembl.
AGCUCAGGGAUAGGAUUGUGACCCAAUCAAAGCUAAUGAGAUGCAUUGGGACUCUCUGGGACUACUGGGAGUGAGGCUGAAACUCAUUUUCACCUGACUUCAGUCAAGGAACACCUGAACCUAGAGCUACAACCCCACACGGUGGGGGUGGGGAGGCUAUCAGAGGCAGCGCCAAUGUUCAAGAAGUAAAAGAGGGAAGGAGAGACAGCCUUGCCUAGUAAUAUAAUACCUUGAUCAGCUCCCUCUUGGACUACUACGUUAAGUGAACUAAGAUUUCUCUGUCUCUUUUUUUAAAGAUUUUAUUUUUCCUUUUUCUCCCCAAAGUCCUCCAGUACAUAGUUGUGUAUUUUUAGUUGUGGGUCCUUCUAGCUGUGGCAUGUGGGACACUGCCUCAGCAUGGCUUGAUGAGCGGUGCCAUGUCCACGCCCAGGAUUUGAACUGGUGAAACCCUGGCCUGCCGAAGCAGAGCGCAAGAACUUAACCACUUGGCCAUGGGGCCAGCCCCUAAGAUUUCUCUUUUGCUUGAUCUGGUUUGGGUUGGCCUCUUCUUAUGCCUCCUUGGCUUCCAGGAGAGCAAUUAAAGAGCUUUUCCUCUAGCUUCACUGAAGAAGAUUAAGCUGGGUAAUCCCAGAGAGGAUGGAGAUAGUAGGCUGCAUUCCCAAAAGGUACAGCACUUCAUAUUUACAGCAGCAAGGUUUUGACUCAUAAAGAAAGAGUGACAUGCAAGGCCAACGACAGAAUAUACCUUCUCUAAGGCCUGUAAAGCCAUUCCCACUGGACAGAGGCAAGAUUGUUAAGAUUCCAUGCAAAGUGACCAUCAGCUGGCAGGGUCUAUACCAGAGGGCAUCAGAGAAAGAAAGAAAAAACUGGUCUCUGAGGUGUGAACAGUUCAAAAACAGUAAAUAAAUGGAGAGUGAAGUGGGAUUAUUUUUAUUAACUUUCAAACUCAAAGACCUUUAUCAAAAUCAGAUCUUAUAGAAGAGGGAGUAGGGACACUUGGCCGGAUGCCUCUUCCACAACCCUCAUCCCUCACCUUCAAGGUAAACAAGGAAGAAGGAAAAAGAAAUAGCAAAGAGGGAGAGAGAAAAACCGACUUUCCUUCAGCGAGGACCACGCUCCUCUCAGAAAGGGGCCAGGCUUUCAAGGGCCUCUGAUGCAGGAAGGUAGAGGGUAGCUCGGUCUCCUGCAAAUGCAGUCCACUCUCUCAAGCUGAGAUGACAUCUGAGGACAAACCAGAGGCAAUAAGUGGAGGAGCUAGCUUCAGAGUGAUUACUUCUCAAGCUGGAGGUGUGUUUUUGGAUGCUUCAGAGAAACUCUCCAAAUCUUAUUUUCCUAUUUUGAAAAAUGAGGGAGGGGUUUGGAAUUUGGAUGUGUAAGGCCACUUCCAACUCUAAGAUUCUAUCAUUCCAAUUAUAAAAUGUUGCUAAUUUUCUAUUAAUUUUGUCUCACCUUCAAUUGAUAUCCAUGAAAAUGUAGAAAGAUCAUAAAAUUUGUAGUCAAGUCUUGGGUUCAAGUCCCAACCACAAGCUACGUAAUCUCGGACAAGCUCCUUGGUUUACUCUGAGCCUUUAUCCUUAUCUGCAAAACUGAGAAAAUAAGCCUCACAGUGUGGUUGCAAGAGUCAAGUGAGGGGGUAUCUGUGAGAGCACUUAUAAACUCUAAGGUGUUAAAACAAGUGUACUACAGCAUUCUUAUUAAAUCUGAGCCACUCAUUUCCAUUUCUUUGCUCUAUUUAAACCUCACUAAUUAAAUAUGUAAAUGAUUUAUCCCACAGACAUUGACAGUGUCUCCUGUUUUAGGCACUAGAGAUACUUUAUAGUGAAUAAGACACUGAGGUCACUGACAUCAUGGGACUUGGACUUGAAAAUGUUCUUUUAACAUCUGCAUCAGAUAAGGAAAUCUAGGCAUACACAUAUUUUAGCAAGAUACAUAAAAGGUAAAUCACUGUACCCAGUACUGUAGAGAGAUGAAUUGAGUAACUAUGAACACAGGUCCUGCUAUGGCCCCACGCAUAAGGAGAGGCACUGUUUCAGGUACUGGGAGACUGAACAUCGAACAUUGAACAAGACCAAGCCCCUGGCCUUCUGGAGCUUACAUUCUAUCAGAAAGGUUGAAUCAGUCAGAGUAUUACUAAUUAUAAAUGGAAGACACAGCCAAAGAAAUGUAUGAGGCUGAUGUAAGAGGUAUGAAACAUAGUUCUGGACCCACAGCUUCUGGUCUCUUCUCUUGGACACACUAGGUUUCCCUUCAUCAGAACUGAAGGCAUCAUAAACUCUGACUUGCUUGCCUCAUGUCUCAUUUCUCAUUCUAAUUAUUCAGCUUGGACAAGUUAACAGCCUUUACACCACGUAGUAAGACACGUAGGCAUAGGGGAUAAUCACAGCUAUUUUUCAGCUGUGGUCAGUUGUUAUGGCUUAAUUAGAUUGUAAAACAGGAUUCACAUAGUCUGCAAAGUAUGAUUCAGCUUUACCUUUUUUUCAGGUUCCUUUGAGUCUACGUCGUGACCCACUUAACACAAGGACCCCCACAGCCAGUAACAGACUACCAGCCUCCACCUAACCCCUAAAGUAUUGAUCAUUAUGCAUUCAGCUGUAUAGUCAACAACCGCAGAUUCUCUUCUUUGAGACACGGUGCUAGGUCCUUGCUUCCUGGCAUUUACAAUCACAUUUGAAAACUUAGAAAUGCCAAUAACUCCAAUAUAAGAGUAGGAGCAGAUGCCAUUGACUAAGUGAGAUAUAGGAGCUCCAGGGAAGGAGACAUCAUUUCUGACUCCAGUGACUAGGUGCGAGGAGGAUGCAGCUCUGAUGAGAGCCUGCUUUGUCCUGGGACAGUCCUCGAUAUUUUACAGACUCUGUCACUUGAUGUGGAAGGCUUCAUGAAGGACUUGGAGUCUAAGGCCUUGAGUGAUGGGAAGAAUUAGGAAAGGCAGA